Molecule: non-coding RNA, 506 nt
Organism: Meleagris gallopavo (turkey)
Lineage: Eukaryota; Metazoa; Chordata; Aves; Galliformes; Phasianidae
Source: RefSeq, a predicted model, not a curated record
UGCUGCCUGUCUGCAUCUGGUCCCCAAAUGUCACAGAGUCCCCAAGGCACCACUGCCAUUGCUAUGCUGCCCCAACUCCAUGCUGGAGACUGGGGAAUCUGAGGCCAGGGCAGUUUACCUCUUCCUACAGCUCCUGGGGGAUAUCCAGGCUUUCUGAGCAGCUUCAGCAUCAUUCACUCUUUUUGCCUCUGGAAAAUCAAGAGGGGAGGUCUGGGUUGGACACAACUGUCCUGGAGCGCAGCAAGGAGGCAGAGCUGGGGUGAGCAGAGGUGAAAGGCACCUUUUCCAACAGCCACACUGUCAUCAUAGCAGGAUUGGUGAUUGGACUGCUCUUAUUCUUGGCUAUCAUCAUUACCACUGUUAAAUUAAAAGCUCCCAGAGCAGGUAGGAUUCCUGGCUCCCUCAGCCUCCUUCCUUGUUUAUUCUUGAGAUCCGGAGGAAAACCAUCCAUCACCACAGCUUGGGUAUGUAGCUGUUCCCAGAGCUCCAGACGCUUUCACCCCCUC